RNAcentral lists this ribosomal RNA (253 nucleotides) under uncultured bacterium. RNAcentral describes it as "partial 16S ribosomal RNA". It matches the Rfam family "Bacterial small subunit ribosomal RNA", at positions 524 to 776 of the family's 1533-position model. The record is from RNAcentral.
UACGAAGGGGGCUAGCGUUGCUCGGAAUCACUGGGCGUAAAGGGUGCGUAGGCGGGUCUUUAAGUCAGGGGGGAAAUCCUGGAGCUCAACUCCAGAACUGCCUUUGAUACUGGCGAGCUUGAGUUCGGGAGAGGUGAGUGGAACUGCGAGUGUAGAGGUGAAAUUCGUAGAUAUUCGCAAGAACACCGGUGGCGAAGGCGGCUCUCUGGACGGUGACUGACGCUGAGACGCGAAAGCGUGGGGAGCAAACAGG